RNAcentral lists this ribosomal RNA (513 nucleotides) under Triticum aestivum (bread wheat). RNAcentral's name for it is "partial small subunit ribosomal RNA". Lineage: Eukaryota; Viridiplantae; Streptophyta; Magnoliopsida; Poales; Poaceae. The record is from RNAcentral.
AUGAACAGGGUCGAUGUGCCAGCCAUGGGUGCUGCCGCAUCCGGCUUCCUGCCUGGCCAGGAGAACUACAUCAUCUACAUGAUCAGCCAACUGAGGAAUGAUUUCAUGGCUGAGCAACGGAGGCUGCAGGACGACAGCUCCAUGCUCCUCCAAGAGGUCAAGGACAUGAGGAGGGAGCUGAUCAGUGGCAAGGACCUCGUUGCAGAGUCCCGCAGGGUGCUGGAAGAGAACGUGAAGGUCCACCAGGAGGUCAAGGACUCCCGCACCACCAUGAAAGCGGACAUUGUUUCCGAGGGCAACAAGGUCAGAAAGGAGAUCCAAGACUUCCGUACUGAAAUCCGGGGCAUGACUGCAGAUUUUAAGUUGUACCUUGGGAAGAUGGCAAUAAGGAUUCUCCUCGCAAUUUUUGGGCUCAUCUUCGCAGGAGUAUCAUUGGCGCUGCCGUAUGUGUGGGAGUUCAUCCACUACUACUGGAACAAGACAUGGGAUACCUUGAAGCCCAAGGAUGAAUAA